CCUACGGGAGGUAGCAGUGGGGAAUAUUGGGCAAUGGGCGCAAGCCUGACCCAGCAACGCCGCGUGAAGGAAGAAGGCUUUCGGGUUGUAACCUUCUUUUCUGAGGGACGAAGAAAAUGACGGUACCUCAGGAAUAAGCAACGGCUAACUACGUGCCAUCAGCCGCGGUAAUACGUGGGGGCAAAGCGUUAUCCGGAUUUAUUGGGUGUAAAGGGCGUGUAGGCAGAAAAGCAAGUCAGAUGGGAAAACUCAGGGCUCAACCCUGAGCAUGCAUGUGAAACUUUUUUUCUUGAGUGCUGGAGAGGCAAUCGGAAUUCCGUGUGUAGCGGUGAAAUGCGUAGAUAUACGGAGGAACACCAGUGGCGAAGGCGGAUUGCUGGACAGUAACUGACGCUGAGGCGCGAAAGCGUGGGGAGCAAACAGGAUUAGAUACCCCUGUAGUC
RNAcentral lists this ribosomal RNA (443 nucleotides) under uncultured bacterium. RNAcentral describes it as "partial 16S ribosomal RNA". It matches the Rfam family "Bacterial small subunit ribosomal RNA", at positions 338 to 795 of the family's 1533-position model. The record is from RNAcentral.